ACAGCCUAUUGCCCAUGCUUCACUUCGUUUUUUUUCCUCAGUUGUUGCUCUUCCUCUUCCUCUUCUUCCUUCUGCCAAACCUCACAAAAUCCACCUCAACCACAGAAUCUCCCCUAACUCUAUCUCAUCUUAGUUAUAUCUUCCAACUAUGAGCUGAUUUCAACCUAAAAGUUGAACCCCAAAUUUGGACCGGACAAUAGCCAAGGCGUGACUCGCCACCUCCGUUGUCAACCUCCACAACGAAGCCACAGUCUUGACUUGCCACCUCCAUUGUCAACUUCCACCACAAAGCCACGGCACCUUCCUCGUCGAUCUUCACUGUGAUUUUAUGAUGGUCAGAAAUGGACACAAUUGUAAUUUUGGUUUGCUACAAUGAAAAAUGGGUAACCUCAAAGAAGAUGUGCACAUAUGAAGGGGGUAACUCAAAAGGCAUAAUAGUUUCGCGAAACAUCACGUCUGGUGAGCUUUUGGAAUGGGUGCAUAAGAUUGUUAAUACAAACAACAGGGAAGACAAGCUUUGUUUAAAGUUCUCAGUUUCAAUAUCCUCGAAUGAGUGUAAGCAUAUCAAGAUUGAGGACAAUGAUGAUGUUAAAUUUUUUUAUUAAGUACAUUUGUGACGUAAUUCCUUCAAAAGUGGCUCCUUUACUGGUGAGCAUAGAAGACAGAGGACUGACAAAUGUCAUAGGUGAUCAUAUACAUAUCACGACGGAUAUGAGUCAGAUGGCCUGUUCUUCAAAUGCCAUAGUUGAAAGCAAUGGUGAUGUACAUGGUGAUUUUGGAACAUAAUAUUUAGACAUGAUUGAUUUUACAGGGGUGGAGGGGGUGCAUAGUGGUGAUAAUGGUAUGGAAAUGAAUGGCUUGCAAAUGCACUCAGCCCCUCUUAUUUUGGCCCAUUUGGAGACAUUUUCACAAGUGGGUGUGGUAGGUUUCGGAACAAUGUCUGAACUUUCUAUUCGACAUAUUUGGAGGCAAAUGGGUGAACAAAACGUGCACAACUUGGGUACUGUAAAUGAUGAAGAAGAAGAUAUUGAAAGCGCGUAUUCACGAAAUAAUUGGGAUCCAAAAUUGGAAGUUGGGAAAAUUUUCUCUAGUAAGGAAGCCCUGUCCAACAAGUUACAGUUGGCGGCAGUGAGAGGUCACUUUGAAUUUAAGGUGAAGCAGUCUUGCAAGAGUCGAUUGGUUGUGGUUUGUUCUCAAGGUCCAUGCCCAUGGCGGCUUCGUGCAUCUAGUUAUGGAGAAAAAAAACUUCAUGAUUGUGAAAUAUAAUCCGGUCCAUGAAUGUGAUAUGAGUUUUAUACAUGACAAGCAUCAUCACGCAAGUGCUAAACUCGUUGGUAAUGCAGUGAAGCAGAAGUUCAAAGAUUCUUGCACAAUAUACACACCAAGUGAUAAAUCAGAGAUGUGAAACAAAACUUUGGUGUCACCAUUAAUUAUUGCAAAGCUUGGAGAUCGAGGAAGUUAGCUCUAAUAUCCACUAGAGGUUCAGUAGAGGAGGCAUAUUCUCUUCUUCCAGCUUAUUGCACUACUACAAAAAAGCAAAAAGACAACGGUAAAUCACCGUCGUGUAUUCGAUUUUUCAAUGGUCGUGGAAUCCACCGUCAUCUUUUCCCUCAUAAA
Molecule: long non-coding RNA, 1617 nt
Organism: Prunus dulcis (almond)
Lineage: Eukaryota; Viridiplantae; Streptophyta; Magnoliopsida; Rosales; Rosaceae
Exons: 2
Source: RefSeq, a predicted model, not a curated record